RNAcentral lists this ribosomal RNA (403 nucleotides) under uncultured bacterium. RNAcentral's name for it is "bacterial SSU rRNA". It matches the Rfam family "Bacterial small subunit ribosomal RNA", at positions 362 to 757 of the family's 1533-position model. The record is from RNAcentral.
UUUUGGACAAUGGGCGCAAGCCUGAUCCAGCCGUGCCGCGUGAGUGAAGAAGGCCUUCGGGUUGUAAAGCUCUUUCAGCCGGAAAGAAAUUGCUUCUAUUAAUACUAGGAGUAGAUGACGGUACCGGAAGAAGAAGCACCGGCUAACUACGUGCCAGCAGCCGCGGUAAUACGUAGGGUGCGAGCGUUAAUCGGAAUUACUGGGCGUAAAGCGUGCGCAGGCGGUUUUGUAAGACAGAUGUGAAAUCCCCGGGCUUAACCUGGGAACUGCAUUUGUGACUGCAAGACUAGAGUGUAGCAGAGGGGGGUAGAAUUCCACGUGUAGCAGUGAAAUGCGUAGAGAUGUGGAGGAAUACCAAUGGCGAAGGCAGCCCCCUGGGUUAACACUGACGCUCAUGCACGAA